GUAAGGAAUAUUGGACAAUGGACGCAAGUCUGAUCCAGCCAUGCUGCGUGAAGGAUUAAGGUCCUCUGGAUUGUAAACUUCUUUUAUAAGGGACGAAAAAAGGCUUUUCUAAGUCGUCUGACGGUACCUUAUGAAUAAGCACCGGCUAACUCCGUGCCAGCAGCCGCGGUAAUACGGAGGGUGCAAGCGUUAUCCGGAUUCACUGGGUUUAAAGGGUGCGUAGGCGGGCAGGUAAGUCAGUGGUGAAAUCCUAGAGCUUAACUCUAGAACUGCAAUUGAUACUAUCUGUCUUGAAUAUUGUGGAGGUAAGCGGAAUAUGUCAUGUAGCGGUGAAAUGCUUAGAUAUGACAUAGAACACCUAUUGCGAAGGCAGCUUACUACGCAUAUAUUGACGCUGAGGCACGAAAGCGUGGGGAUCAAACAGGAUUAGAAACCCGAGUAGUCC
This 445-nucleotide ribosomal RNA is filed under the name uncultured bacterium. RNAcentral describes it as "bacterial SSU rRNA". It matches the Rfam family "Bacterial small subunit ribosomal RNA", at positions 354 to 796 of the family's 1533-position model. The record is from RNAcentral.